GCUGACGAGUGGCGAACGGGUGAGUAAUACAUCGGAACGUGCCCGAUCGUGGGGGAUAACGGAGCGAAAGCUUUGCUAAUACCGCAUACGAUCUACGGAUGAAAGCAGGGGACCGCAAGGCCUUGCGCGGACGGAGCGGCCGAUGGCAGAUUAGGUAGUUGGUGGGAUAAAAGCUUACCAAGCCGACGAUCUGUAGCUGGUCUGAGAGGACGACCAGCCACACUGGGACUGAGACACGGCCCAGACUCC
RNAcentral lists this ribosomal RNA (249 nucleotides) under uncultured bacterium. RNAcentral's name for it is "partial 16S ribosomal RNA". It matches the Rfam family "Bacterial small subunit ribosomal RNA", at positions 87 to 339 of the family's 1533-position model. The record is from RNAcentral.